UACGAAGGGUGCAAGCGUUACUCGGAAUUACUGGGCGUAAAGCGUGCGUAGGUGGUUCGUUAAGUCUGAUGUGAAAGCCCUGGGCUCAACCUGGGAAUGGCAUUGGAAACUGGCGAUCUAGAGUGCGGUAGAGGGUAGUGGAAUUCCCGGUGUAGCAGUGAAAUGCGUAGAGAUCGGGAGGAACAUCUGUGGCGAAGGCGACUGCCUGGACCAGCACUGACACUGAGGCACGAAAGCCAGGGGAGCGAACGGG
RNAcentral lists this ribosomal RNA (253 nucleotides) under uncultured bacterium. RNAcentral's name for it is "partial 16S ribosomal RNA". It matches the Rfam family "Bacterial small subunit ribosomal RNA", at positions 524 to 776 of the family's 1533-position model. The record is from RNAcentral.